This 301-nucleotide ribosomal RNA is filed under the name uncultured bacterium. RNAcentral describes it as "partial 16S ribosomal RNA". It matches the Rfam family "Bacterial small subunit ribosomal RNA", at positions 509 to 807 of the family's 1533-position model. The record is from RNAcentral.
CAGUCGCCACGGUAAUACGUAGGUGGCAAGCGUUGUCCGGAAUUAUUGGGCGUAAAGGGCUCGCAGGCGGUUUCUUAAGUCUGAUGUGAAAGCCCCCGGCUCAACCGGGGAGGGUCAUUGGAAACUGGGAAACUUGAGUGCAGAAGAGGAGAGUGGAAUUCCACGUGGAGCGGUGAAAUGCGUAGAGAUGUGGAGGAACACCAGUGGCGAAGGCGACUCUCUGGUCUGUAACUGACGCUGAGGAGCGAAAGCGUGGGGAGCAAACAGGACUAGAUACCCGCGUAGUCCCUGUCUCUUAUAC